This 218-nucleotide long non-coding RNA is filed under the name Elaeis guineensis (African oil palm). RNAcentral's name for it is "long non-coding RNA (EGUI_LNC039430)". The record is from RNAcentral. Lineage: Eukaryota; Viridiplantae; Streptophyta; Magnoliopsida; Arecales; Arecaceae.
AGGUCAAUUCAGGUGAUGCCUUGCGAACCCGAAUAUCAUCAUGUGGUGCGCUCUCACAGAUUCGACGUUCUUUCCCAAAUAUCAUUCCAUCGGAAGAAGUGGUGGCCAUCAUUCCUCACGAUUGUCGCUCACUCCAGUCAAAUCCACCUUAAAUACAUCAUGGAUUAUGAAAUGUAGGGGCACCAUCUACAAUCAACGCAUGGGAAGUCCGAUGGGAG